Molecule: ribosomal RNA, 436 nt
Filed under: uncultured bacterium
Lineage: Bacteria
Description: partial 16S ribosomal RNA
Rfam family: Bacterial small subunit ribosomal RNA
Source: RNAcentral
AGCGAACGCUGGCGGCAGGCUUAACACAUGCAAGUCGAGCGGGCAUCCUUGUGGUGUCAGCGGCAGACGGGUGAGUAACGCGUGGGAACGUGCCCUUCGGUUCGGAAUAACUCAGGGAAACUUGAGCUAAUACCGGAUACGUGCGAGAGCAGAAAGGUUUAUCUGCCGAAGGAUCGGCCCGCGUCUGAUUAGCUAGUUGGUGAGGUUAUGGCUCACCAAGGCGACGAUCAGUAGCUGGUCUGAGAGGAUGAUCGGCCACACUGGGACUGAGACACGGCCCAGACUCCUACGGGAGGCAGCAGUGGGGAAUAUUGGACAAUGGGGGCAACCCUGAUCCAGCCAUGCCGCGUGAGUGAUGACGGCCUUAGGGUUGUAAAGCUCUUUUCUCCGGGACGAUAAUGACGGUACCGGAGGAAUAAGCCCCGGCUAACUUCGU